This 137-nucleotide ribosomal RNA is filed under the name uncultured eukaryote. RNAcentral describes it as "partial 18S ribosomal RNA". It matches the Rfam family "Eukaryotic small subunit ribosomal RNA", at positions 1299 to 1458 of the family's 1831-position model. The record is from RNAcentral.
UGGUGGAGUGAUUUGUCUGCUUAAUUGCGAUAACGAACGAGACCUUAACCUACUAAAUAGCCCGCCUUGCUUUGGCAGGGUGCUGGCUGCUUAGAGGGACUAUCGGCUCAAGCCGAUGGAAGUUUGAGGCAAUAACA